CAUCAUUCUAAUUUAUCUUUAGAAUUUGUUUUUCCUUUUUUCCUGUUGGAGCUCACAUUUCCUUGGUUUUAUGCAAUCACAACUUGUUGCACAUUUUGAGCAUCCUUCCAUUUUUUCUUUCUCGUUGCUUUUUCACUCCUACCAUUUUAAGCAACUCUACUCCGAUUUUUUUUGCACUUUUUGCAACCACCUCCAGCCUUUCAAAAUGGCAUUUUCCUAAUGCCUUAAACUAAGUUUGAGUAUAAAUACGAACAAAAAAAAUCGGAUUAAAGAGGCUGGAAAGAGUGAAGAGAACCAAAAAGAAAAACCAGAUAGAGGAGGAAAAUGCAGAGAGAAAAAAGUAGAGCAAAACUGUAAAGUUUGAGAGCUAACAAUUACCCCUAAACAUCGUUGUGUUUGCAUCAUAUCCACUAUUUCACCACCUAAAAUCAAAACACCACUUUCAUUCCGAAC
This 453-nucleotide long non-coding RNA is filed under the name Medicago truncatula (barrel medic). RNAcentral describes it as "long non-coding RNA (MTRU_LNC000629)". Lineage: Eukaryota; Viridiplantae; Streptophyta; Magnoliopsida; Fabales; Fabaceae. The record is from RNAcentral.